RNAcentral lists this ribosomal RNA (408 nucleotides) under Triticum aestivum (bread wheat). Its description in RNAcentral is "partial small subunit ribosomal RNA". Lineage: Eukaryota; Viridiplantae; Streptophyta; Magnoliopsida; Poales; Poaceae. The record is from RNAcentral.
AUGCUACAUCUGCAAGGACCCCGGUCACCCGCCGCCCUCUGCCCGGAUAGGCCGUUCCCCGACAAGCUCCGGAUGUAUGGUCAUGGGAUCGAGGGUCUGGGGUUCUUCCCCAUUGAGGUCCCCGACGUCUCACCCCCCACACCAUCCCUCCAGGCGGUGGUUUCUGUGGUCGACGGUGUAGCCUCUCCCGAGAUGAUCGAGGCGGAGCUCAACCACCUAUAUCGUCGCCAGUGGGACUGGGCGGUCACUCCCAUCUCCGUCUCCGAGUUCUCUGUGGUCUUCCUCGAUGCCGCCAGCCACGGCUACGCCACCCGCAAUGACCAGAUCAUCCUUCCCAUCAACAAGCUCGUGAAGGAAAUAUGCCCUAGAGGCAAUAAUAAAGUUAUUAUUUAUUUCCUUAUUUCAUGA